GCGGGCGUGGCGAAACCGGUGAGACGCAAAGGGCUUAAACCCCUUGGGGCCGCGAGGCCCAUGUGGGUUCGAAUCCCACCGCCCGCAC
This 88-nucleotide transfer RNA is filed under the name Egicoccus halophilus. RNAcentral describes it as "tRNA-Leu". It matches the Rfam family "tRNA". From Rfam's summary of the family: Transfer RNA (tRNA) molecules are approximately 80 nucleotides in length. Their secondary structure includes four short double-helical elements and three loops (D, anti-codon, and T loops). The record is from RNAcentral. Lineage: Bacteria; Bacillati; Actinomycetota; Nitriliruptoria; Egicoccales; Egicoccaceae.